This is a long non-coding RNA of Myxocyprinus asiaticus (Chinese sucker), 1718 nucleotides long. RefSeq lists it as uncharacterized. Lineage: Eukaryota; Metazoa; Chordata; Actinopteri; Cypriniformes; Catostomidae. The record is from RefSeq and is a predicted model, not a curated record. The transcript is spliced from 4 exons.
UUUAAAUGUAAGAACCCAUGAUUAUUUAUUUUUUUUGUAUGUGUUUGAGUAUGUCUGGAGAACAAAUUUACAUGUGAGUUGCAGCUUUAUCGGUGUAAACUUGAUCAACCAACAAAAAUAAGAUAGGUAGAGUUUAUUAUUUUGUUAGGGACUGUCUGAUGGAGAGAUUGAGCGAGAUGCUGCUCUGAAUGGGAAAACUCGUCUCUCUUGGCAUCUUCACUCAGACAGGGGUGCUCCGAAAUUAGAAAAGAUAGAUAGCAGAUUCUUUUAGUUUAGAUAUUUAUUUUUAUUUUAUUUAUAUAUAUAUAUAUAUAUACAGUGUAGGCAUUGGUUGAUCAUGGGUACACUGAGAACCUGCCUUUGAGACUAGAAUUAAAGGAAAAGAAAUUUCAGAAUGAUUUGGAUCAUUUCAUGUUCUCUGCCAUUCCAAUCCGCUGAAGUUGUGCUCUUAAUAUCUGGUUUUCUGAUUUUUAUGUGCGGCAGCCUUGCCAAUAUUGUGAUGCUUUUUCCUUGGGUUUGAUCUUUGACCAAUCAUGCCAGAUAAAAUGGAAAAUAAAGUCCCAAACACCAAUAAGGAGGCAGAACUAAGCAAGUUUUCUUCUUUUGAAAGUGCAUAAAAUGGAAAAUGUUAUUCGUGCUAGAAGUUCUGAUUUUAAGAAUUAAGAAAUAUCUUUGAUGUAUUUGAUUGUAAAAAAUUAUUGAUAAUGCUAAGGAAAAAUUGGUCAUUGGAGGCAGGUGAAGCCCAUGGAGAAACGUUAAGAUUAAAUUGAACAUUGUAACUUCCUCAAUUAUUAAUGUUAAUAACUUCAUAUUCAUGCAUCUAUUCUGUGUGUGUCUUUGAAACUAUGUUUUACCCUUUCUUUUGUCAUCAUUAUGUUUAUGUUGUUUCACUAACUCAUUCUGGAACCAGUCUCUCACCAUUACAGAUGGCUGGGCCAGAUGAUUUAUUGAAGCUGCUAAUACUGCAGGAGGAAAUCUGGAGAAAAAGAAGACUGAAAAUGAUGUGGGCCUUUAUCCGAUUGGUCUUCCCGCUGUCAUUACUGCUGGAAGUCUUGUGCUGAAUGGUCAAUGAUGAACAAGUCCUCUUCCUUGUCCCUGACCAGUGGGGCAUCUUCAUUCUAACCAGUGGAGAUUGAACCAUAGUAAAGCCUCUCCAUCCCCUUUCACUUCCUCCUGCUCCUGCUCUUCUUCUCCUGAUUCAACUUCUGCUUCCUCCUCUGCUUCUUUUCUCCUGGCACGUCUCUUCUGAUGGCGCCAUCUCUCUUGAGGCUCGGGGUCAAAGUUGAAGAUGACUUUACCUUGGCGGCUCUCAAUUUCUCAGUCACACGCUGUCUCAUGGACGUCACUGAUUGGCUGGAGCCUGGUCUCACCGCAGGACGAGGAGGAAGAUCUAGAGAGGGUGUGAGAAUGAGAGUGUUAGGCUACUGUAUGUUUGGAAUGGGAUACUAGCUUACUACUUAAUGAAUAUUGCACAGCACUGCAACAACUAAAAAUAAAAAUAAAAAGUGCGCAUCAAGUGACAAUAUGCAUUAUUUCACAAUAAACAUUUCAAAUAGUAGUAUGCUACAUUGUUAUUACAUGGACUCACUAAGUUUAUUACAUAACACUGCAUGUUUAAUUCAGCAAGAGGCAACUAAUUAUCAUCUUGGAUAUGCUGUAUAAUUGUUUAUUUUCCAUCUAGUUGAGUAAAAUGUCUUAACAUCUGGCAUUUUAAUUAA